UGCACCUGGUCUGCGCGGACAGGUGAAGUGGAGCUCUGGGGGUAUUUUGGAAGCGGUGGAUUUGAACGGACCAUUCAGCGCGCUGCAUUUGAGGACUCGGUGGUUCGCGUUUUUUCCAGCUACCCCGCUCAGGUUGUGCAGAGACUUCAUCAUCCAACCUUCUCCAUCAGAGUGGCUCUCUUUCUCAGAGUGAAAAUCCAGCUAUCAUUGGACCGGAGCGGAACAUAUAUCAAUCUGCCACUGAACAGCUGGAGAGAGAGGAUGUGACAGAAGUACAGGGGAUUAAGUUCAGAUAUGAUGGAUACACAAAAGGACAUCCGUGAUGCCCUACGAGCAGUGCUUCCUGGCCUUUCACAGGAAGUUUUGACUGCUUUAGAGGAUGUGUUGGAGAACCUCAGCACUACAACCACAGAUGAUUUACAAUAUAUCACUGAAGGAGACUUAUUGCCUGUGCUGAAGCCCAUACAGGCCAGAAGACUGGUUGCUGCGUGGGCCCAAAAUAAACAACAAUGUACAGCUUCUCAUUUACACCUGGUAGUUCCUGUGCAGGGGACAGACAACAGUCUGUUAGAAAAGGAAACACUCUACAUUAACAGUUACCUAACAUUACUUUACACAGACUCAAUGGCUUCAUCUUCAGGCGGGGCAUCCUCCUGUCCACAGUCCGUUCAGUCCUCUCAAUCUGCAGCCUCACUUUCACAACCAUCGUCUGCUGCUAUUUCAUCACCUUCACUGAGCUGCUCCCCAGUUUUGCCAACCUGGGUUGACAGUUUUCAGAUACCGUGGCAGAAGCUCCCGGAAGAGCUGAUACAAACUUUGGAACGACAGAAAAGGCCAAGUGCACCACUUCGAAGACAAAUGGUGAGGAUUAUUGUCUCUGAAAUGAUGCAGAUUUGCAAGAAUCCAACCAAACGCAACACUACUGAAAUAGCAGAAAGGAUGGUGAGCAGAUAUCCAAAGUCACUUAAGGAUGUCAUUGAUGGUGACGUUAUUGGACUUGGUUAUCAUUCCCUGGUAAAACAACUCCAGGCUAGAAUUGAAAAUGUCAAACGACAAUACACACCAAAGAUAACUAAACGCAAGGCAGAAUCAGAUAACGACACUGAUGAGAUACCUGCUGAGCAAAAAGCCAGUGUUCAAGACACGUAUGGCUGUGUCAACUGGGAGCCAAAGUUUUUGCCCCUUUCUGAGACUGUAGAGAGUCAGCUUAAGAGAAAAAAAGACUUGAAAAAGAUGUUCAAAGACAAAAAUUACGCUGCAGAAGAUGUGAAAGAACUUAUCAAGUCCACCUAUUACACGCAACGAAAGGACAUCAAUAAAGGUACAAGCAUCCUGAAGCUAUGCCAAGAAUGGCCUUUUUUGUUCCACAAAACUGGCAUGGCAGAACACUUCCAGCAACUUACUGGCAUCAAUCUGAUGGAAGCCUUCACCAAUCUGGACAAAAAGGGGGAGCGCAUCCUCAACUUCCUUAAAACUGUUUUUGCUGAGAAAGAAAACCAAGUUAGCAAAUGAAAAAGGUCGGUCCAGUGGUUGUACAGAGAUGAUUCUUCUUCUACUUGCUUUUUUUGGUGAGAAGGAAGAGCAUAUGUUCCACUACGUUGAGAAGACGAGCCUUGCUGAAGAGGUUGAGAUGGAGGAUGUGCCAGCAACACCCUGCCUUAUUGUGUGUGGGUCAUCAUCCUGCUGGAAUGUGAAUCUCAGAGUUUCAAGUCUUUUGCAGCCUCUAACAGGACUUCUUCCAACAAUGUGCUGCAAUAAACUCAAUCCACCUUCUGUUAACUCUGACCAGCUUGUCCACAGCUGCUGAAUACAGCAUUCCCACAGCAUGAUACUGGCGCCGCCAUGUGUCAUUGUGUGGAUGAUGUUUCCAGGAUGAUGUGCAGCUU
Molecule: RNA transcript, 1886 nt
Organism: Girardinichthys multiradiatus
Lineage: Eukaryota; Metazoa; Chordata; Actinopteri; Cyprinodontiformes; Goodeidae
Exons: 6
Source: RefSeq, a predicted model, not a curated record